GGCGAACGCUGGCGGCGCGCCUAACACAUGCAAGUCGAGCGAUGAAAUUUUAACCGAUCUCUUCGGAGAGAAGAUAAAAUGGAUUAGCGGCGGACGGGUGAGUAACACGUGAGAAACCUGCCUUUCACAAGGGGAUAGCCUCGGGAAACCGGGAUUAAUACCCUAUGACACAUUUCCUUCGCAUGGAAGAAAUGUUAAAACUCCGGUGGUGAAAGAUGGUCUCGCGCCUGAUUAGCUAGUUGGUGGGGUAACGGCCCACCAAGGCCAUGAUCAGUAACCGGCCUGAGAGGGUGAACGGUCACAUUGGAACUGAGACACGGUCCAAACUCCUACGGGAGGCAGCAGUGGGGAAUAUUGCACAAUGGAGGAAACUCUGAUGCAGCGACGCCGCGUGAGCGAUGAAGGCUUUCGAGUCGUAAAGCUCUGUCCUAUGGGAAGAUAAUGACGGUACCAUAGGAGGAAGCCCCGGCUAACUACGUG
This 480-nucleotide ribosomal RNA is filed under the name uncultured bacterium. RNAcentral describes it as "partial 16S ribosomal RNA". It matches the Rfam family "Bacterial small subunit ribosomal RNA", at positions 28 to 507 of the family's 1533-position model. The record is from RNAcentral.